Octopus sinensis (East Asian common octopus) is the source of this 4618-nucleotide RNA transcript. It is a transcript of the gene named disabled homolog 1, with no coding region annotated. The record is from RefSeq and is a predicted model, not a curated record. Lineage: Eukaryota; Metazoa; Mollusca; Cephalopoda; Octopoda; Octopodidae. The transcript has 11 exons.
UAUAUAUAUAUAUAUAUAAUAUAUAUAUAUAUCGUAUGUGUUUAUAGAUUUUGUAUAGUGAGUGUAUAUGUGGCUGUGCGUGUGUGAGAGAGUGUAGAGACCAACCCCCCUGCUGUCAAGUGUGUAUAAACGAUGCGAAAGGGAGACGUGUGUAGAGGCGAGACGAAACGAGGAAUUCAAAGAGAGAUCUACAUGCAAGGAUUACAUAUUUCUGACCAAUGUCUUCAUAUCGUUGUAUCUUUGAGGGAAGCAAGGUUUCAGAUUGAUCCGUGCUGCUGUAUCAGAGAACAAUGUCUAUACAGAAAGGACACAAAAAGAAAGAGAUUAAAACAGAUCCGGCCAGUUUCGAAGGAAAAGGCUUGUUCUUCACGGCGAAAUUCAUCGGGGUCUCUGACGUUGCAGAUUUUCGAGGGAACGCCAUGUGUCAGGAGACAAUGCAGAAGUUAAAGGCUGCCGUGAAGAGCUCUGGAAAACAUAAGUUAAAGAUUCUAGUCAACAUAUCUCUGGAAGGGAUUAAGUUGAUCGAGGAGAAGACAAUGGCUGUGAACUAUGAACAUAUUGUAAGUCGAAUUUCAUUUAUUUCAAUUGACACUACGGAUUCCAGGGCUUUUGGCUACGUCUUUGAACCAGGAGAUGGCACCCACAAAUUCUUUGCAAUCAAAACUGAGAAGUCGGCUGGACAUGUUAUCAUCGCCAUAAGGGAUUUGUUUGAGACAGUUUUUGAGAUGAAGAAAAAAGAGAGAGACGAGGCUGCCCAAAAAGAGGCAGAAGAGAAAGACAAAUCUGCAGUGUGCAGCGCGGCUGAUGGUGCUGCACCAGUCGCAGCCACAGCUGACAAAGCCAACACUGAUGAAACAGAUUAUGGUUAUUCUGUACCUUCAAAUAACAAACCUGUGCCGCAAGCUGCUGCUACUCCAAAUAUCAUAGACCUUGAUACUGAUUUAGAGUACAUUCAACAGGGAAUGGACUCAAUGGGUACUGCUUUGGAGAGCUUCGAUGACUUUCCCUUUGGGCAGGUGACAACAGGGGACACAACUGCUGAUCCGUGGAACAUAAACAAUUCAAAACAGUGCAUCGGGAAUGCAUCUGCAUCGAUUGCUGCUGCCGCUGCUGCUGCUCCUGUAGUGUUGCUCCCUCCUCCGCCGGCUUCACCUCGCGUUCCCAUCGGCAGCGCUAUGCCACAGGCACCGGCAGCUUUACCACCUGGUCAAUGUAGUCUUGCGGCCAACCUAUUUCCAGCGUCCAGUGCCUUUCCCUCUGCAGUGUCUUCCAAUGUUCCUGCUCAGCCGUUUCCUGUUUCAGUUCCGUUAACUGUUAACCCAGCAGUUCCAAUGACUGCUAACCCGGCAGUUCCAAUGGCUGCUAACCCAGCAGUUCCAAUGACUGUUAACCCAGCAGUUCCAAAACCAACUGAUCCAGCGACAACCCCACCUGAGAUGCCAACCAGUAUGACCUGCUCUCUACCCAUUGUUACAGAUCCAUUCGGAGAUAAGCUGUUUGUUUCCGCUGUACCUGCACAAGUGCCCAGCCAAACACCCUUCGCAGCCUCUACUGCUACCACACCACCAACUACAGACAAUACUGUACCUUUUGCUGCAUUUCCAGUGAUGAAGCCACCACGUGGUAACACGUUUCCAGUUGCAACCCAAAACGCUGCUGCAAAUUUUGCUGCCCAGCAGCCAUUUGCUGCAUUCCCUCCUGACCCCGCACAACCUGUGGCAGGGAAUGCUUUUUCAGCUGCAUUCCCUGUUCAACCACCAACCCCGGUUUCUGGAUUUCCCGUUGGGCAACAACAAUCAUUUGCUGCAUUCCCAGAGGGGACACAGCCAGCUUUUCUGCCCCUCUCGUCUCCUGACAGCAGUCAGAGAAGCACCCCGAGUAAAUUCGAUGCUAUAUCUUUGGACAGUUCUUUCACUAGCGUCUUCUCUCAGCAGAGUAAUGAAAAACUGGAAAGUGGUUCCACUUCUGCAAAUAAUAAACCACCAACAGACACUGGUACCAAUCCAGUUCCUCAGCCUGACAAGCUUUUCCAGGAUCUCUGCAAUUUUGGCAGCAAUCAGCACCACAAGAAGCCAGCAGAGUUAUUUCCAAAGUUGGAACCACCACCAAGCAAAAAAUUAAGUGAAUUGCUUGAAGAAAGUAUUAAAUGUAAAGAAAUAAAUGUUCAGAAUCCUAAAACUGAAAAUCCUCUCCCAACCCAGCAGCAGCAACAACAGCAGCAAUCAGAGCAAGAUGCUACCCCAUCAAAUACUGACCAGGCAAGUGAAUAUUCAAUAACCUCAGCCCUUCCAGCUGAAAACUUGUUAACUGAUCCCGCGUGCUUUCCUGAACCCACCAAAUUUGAUCAACCCUCAGUUUCUGCUGCUUCUUUUCCUGGUUCUGAUCCCCAAUCUUCUAAUGUUUCUAACGACCGGUCCCAUUCUGAUUCUCCCAGUAUUUUCAGCUUCAGUGGCAAUAACCCCACGGAGGUUACCUAUGCAAUGACAAAACUCAAACUUUCAGAUGUUGACUUUAACAACCCCCCCUCUCAUCCUCCUCCGCAACUCCCUUCCCAUCUUCUUGCUGCUGUUGCUUCUGGUCACAACUCGGGGUCAGAGUCUGUGUGUAGCAUUUCGCCCUUUCCAGAUGACCACUGGACCAUAUCUGAUGAUGAAUUUAACCUCCCUUCCCCAACUGUGCCACCUCCUCCAUUACCAACAGGUGCUUCCCUUAAUUUCGAACCCAACCAAGCACCAGCACCCCCACCUCGUCCAAGGACAUCAGAUAUUACAAGAACUGCCAAACCUCCUCCACUUCCUGUUCGUCCAAAACGUACCCUUUCUUCCAGUUCAAGCUUACAAAGUAUGGGCAAAUCCAACUCUCCAGUGUCAUCUGUUGUUUCCCUGGAAGGGACAGUUUUGGCCCAUGGAGCCAUUUCAGAUUGUUCUUUUACAUCACUGCAAGACUCAGAUGUGUCUACCAAUAGUCUUCCAAUGACAAAACUUGCUGACACCAAAGUUAAUACAACAAAGUUUACUGACCGAGGGUCAUCUGUCUCAUCUCCUCUUAGUGUUGCCACUGGCAACAGCAACUGUUCACCCCCUCCUUGGUCUGCAUUUACUGAAAAUGACAAUUCAAGCUCACCUUUUAGUAACCAAAGUUUUUCAAGUGGCGGCCGUGAUGUAUUUGCAUCAAAUUCAUCACAGACUGCCCUUGGUACUGCUAGUUCCCAUGACAGUGGUUGGCCCAACAAUAACCCUUUCAUGUCUAAAGUUAAUACCAGUCCUUCAGUAAGGAACUCUUCAUCACCAGAUCCUUUCAGUGGCCCCUACACCAAAAUAGUUGACAAACGUUCAAAACAGACUCCUCAGACAAUCUCCCAGUCUGUAGAAUCUGUUUGUAGCUCAACAUCAGCUCAAAUCCAUAAUAAAUCCAGCCAACUAGGGUUCAACAGUGUGGAUCCAUUUUGUGUCCAUCCUUGCACAAAGCCACAAUCAAACCAUAACCAGACAAACACAAACAUUUCUGGAUCAUUCUGUAGCGAACUUAAAAAUGACUUAUCUGAUCCUUUUGUUGUUCCCCUCCACCUCAAACUACAAACUGAGAAGUCUCCAGUUGACCCUUUUGUGAUACAAACGAAUGUUAAUCUAACACAAAACAAUACUCAAGUGACUCAGUUUUUCCCUUCGACAAAAAAUACCGAAAGGUCACUUCCAGAGACUGAUCCUUUCACAUACAACAGUCAAACAACUAACAUUGAAAAUGACCCUUUUACAACCCUUAGUCGAAACAGUGGACACUCUGGCAAUGUACCAUCAGAUCCAUUUUUCUCUCCCAGCCACAAUCCUGCUGAAUACUCUCAGACCCAGACUGACCCUUUUGACGCAUUUAAUCAAUGGCCAGUUAGUACAAAAUUCAGUGUGGACAUUGAUAAAAGCAAUGGUCAUUGACCAAGAAGAUCCAGACAAUCUUCAGAUGCAUUUAUUAUUAAUGGUAGAUGGUAGAUCUUUCAUCCAACCGGCUGUGAUCAGUCUCAGUCCCCAUGCAGGGGGAACAAGUUCAGACUGCUAGUUGCCAGGAACCAAUAUAUUCGAUUCCGAUAAGGAAAAUUUAGACAUUCAUUGAGACGUGCAUGGGAAACAAAGCUGUCAGAAUGGAAGAAAUAUAAGCAGCCAGUUUAGCCAGAAUUACAAGAAUUUUACCUUAGCACAACCAGAAAUGGCUCUUGUUGCUAAGGAAAUAUUACAGAAAAAGAAAGAGUGAAUUGAAUUUAUUAAAAGAAAAAUGUCCAAGAAGUUAUUUCCACAAUUAAACAACAAUGUAGUAAAGUUUGUCUCAAUAUAAAACUGGAUUGGAAAUUAAUUUUUGAAGUUUCCUUGAAUAUAAUUAUAUAUUUGUAUUUUAGCAAAUUAAUGGAUUAAAAACCCACAAAAGACUGAGAGACGAAUUGCUUUAUUUUAUUCUAAGUUUCUAAUAAACAAAGAAUGUGAAUUAUUGGUUAUCAAAAUAGAUUAGUUUAUAAAGAAACAAUAUUAUUGACAUUGUAAAAUAUUAACAGGAGAAAAUGGAAUUGUUACAAAGUGAAAAAAAAAAAAAAUAAUGAUAAAAAUAAUAUUAAUAAUGAUAAUGGUAAUGAAUG